Molecule: long non-coding RNA, 1359 nt
Filed under: Callithrix jacchus (white-tufted-ear marmoset)
Lineage: Eukaryota; Metazoa; Chordata; Mammalia; Primates; Cebidae
Description: lncRNA (ENSCJAG00000080640.1)
Source: RNAcentral
AGGGAAUUUAGGAAGUGCCAUCAGGUCCUUCCCAAUAGAGUGCUCUCUAGCAAUAUAAAGAGAUGCAUAUGCAUGCACUUCUCUUGUGGCUAAUAGACUACAGAGUAAUCUAUGGCCUCUAUUGUAAGAUGUGUUUAACGCUUUUUACCUCUGCAGCUUUUGCAUUAAGAGUAAAUCCAUAAUGGAACCUGGCCAGCUGGAGUGCCGAUUAUUUUUGAAAAACAAUUUGGUUCUUGGACAUUGUUUUCUCUUGCUGAACAAGAAUUUAAAUUCAUCCUAUUGCUUUGCUUUUCCUUGACCCAAAGGAAAAUUAGAAUAGAGUUUGGAUUCUGAAACAGUUUGUACUUCUGGACUCAUUGGUGCUUAAUAAUAGAUAUCUCUAACCCCUAGACAAUUAACUAGUGCUCAUAUAUAAUUCCCUUGACUCACAAUGAGGAACUAAAAAGAGUAAAGAUAAAUGUAAAAUCUAAUUGGAAUUCUUACACUUUUCCCUAUAGCCAAAAUGGAGGCUUGAAAAUUUAUGCUACACAAUUACAGUGUCUCUUCACAUUCAAGGAAAGGAAGAGUGAAGCAGUAAUCUUAAAUAUAGUUCAAGGUCAGAUCACACCACUGUUUCUGACUGCCUGAAUUUGUCUCCAGGUUUGUACUUACUCUUCCUCCCCUGUGUUCUGGUUCUUCUCCCUCAGGAUUGACAUUAUAAUUGGACAGAUCCAGACCAAUCUCAGAGCCCUCAAUUCUUAGCAGAUUACCGUCUCCAGGAUUGAUAACGUUUUAGGACAUGAGUGUGGAGCAGGUCAAAGGCUGCAAAACACAGAGAGCUAAAGAGAAAAUGGAAAAUAAUGAAGAACCACCAAAAUAGUGAACCAAAGAAGAGAAGAGUCACUGAGAGUAUUUCCAAAACUGAGUUGCUGGUGGAGGAUUAUCUCCGAAAGUUAAGGACAUGGAUGAAGCUGGAAACCAUCAUUCUCAGCAAACUAACACAGGAACAGAAAACCAAAGACAGCAUAUUCUCACUCAUAAUUGGGAGUUGAACAAUGAGAACACAUGGACAGAGGGAAGGAAAUAUCACACACCAGGUCCUAUCAGGGGGUGGGGGGGCUAAAGGAGGGAUAGCAUUAGGCAAAAUACCUAAUAUAGGUGACAGGUUGAUGGGUGCAGUAAACCACUAUGUGACGUGUAUACAUAUGUAACCAACUUGCAUAUUCUACAAAUGUAUCCCAGAACUUAAAGUAUAAUAAUGUUUCUAAAAGUGAUAUGAAAAAGUAUAAAUGCUAUAAUAAAAAAAAAGAAAACAAUGCACUUGGCUUGACCAUUUUUCCCACAAUAUAAAAAAGCAUAAGGAAAUAGAUUAUUUUAGAC